AGAGUUUGAUCAUGGCUCAGAUUGAACGCUGGCGGUAGGCUUAACACAUGCAAGUCGAGCGGUAACAGAUCUAGCUUGCUAGAUGCUGACGAGCGGCGGACGGGUGAGUAACGCGUAGGAAACUGCCUAGUAGUGGGGGAUAGCCCAGAGAAAUUUGGAUUAAUACCGCAUACGCCCUACGGGGGAAAAGGGGCUUCGGCUCUUGCUAUUAGAUGUGCCUGCGUAAGAUUAGCUUGUUGGUGAGGUAAUGGCUCACCAAGGCGACGAUCUUUAGCUGGUCUGAGAGGAUGAUCAGCCACACUGGAACUGAGACACGGUCCAGACUCCUACGGGAGGCAGCAGUGGGGAAUAUUGCACAAUGGGCGAAAGCCUGAUGCAGCCAUACCGCGUGUGUGAAGAAGGCUUUCGGGUUGUAAAGCACUUUCAGCGAGGAGGAAGGCUAAGUAGUUAAUACCUGCUUAGA
Molecule: ribosomal RNA, 463 nt
Filed under: uncultured bacterium
Lineage: Bacteria
Description: bacterial SSU rRNA
Rfam family: Bacterial small subunit ribosomal RNA
Source: RNAcentral